Molecule: long non-coding RNA, 662 nt
Organism: Rhipicephalus microplus (southern cattle tick)
Lineage: Eukaryota; Metazoa; Arthropoda; Arachnida; Ixodida; Ixodidae
Source: RefSeq, a predicted model, not a curated record
CGUUCAAACCCAGUCAAGAGCCCCAGAAAUAGAAACCAACAUAUACUCUCCGAUGCAUACAUCAUAACAAUGUCGCCUUUUCCCGCUACCACUACGUCGUUAAAAAAAAAAAAAGCCAGCUUCGAAUAGUUACUUACACAGCAGCUAAAGAAGAAAAAGACGAAGCACGUACUGACAUCAAAGCCGGCGCCCUGGUGCCACGGCAUCAUGCUUACCGUCGGCUGCCGGCUGCUCGGCGCCGCGCCAUUUCUACAACCGAAAUUCACCUAAAAUGCGGACCCCCGAAAGGGGUGCACUGCUUCAUGUCGGUAAACAACGACACAGUCGCUGUGACUGCCUUCAUCGUGGCAACAGUAUUAAUUGUCCUCAGAAGAUCCCUCCGCAAGAUGGUGAUCCUGUGCAUUAUCUUCCCAAGCAUGCCGAUGUUGACCCUGGUUGCCAUCAACAGCCUUCGUCCCGGGGCUGAGCUGCUGCUGAGCUUGGUGACGAUUUCAGUCAUCAGCUUCUUGCGACGCAAGUUUUUCUACAACUAGAAGGAAGCCACGUAAAAAUGCAGACGUUUAUUUACUAUUUACAAGACAUGCAGUACGAAGAAAAAAAAUACUGCACAAACAACACAUAUUGUCAAAAUUAACAGAAAUGAACACUUAUGCUACUUAAAA